AUAUCAAUAAGCGGAGGAAAAGAAACCAACAGGGAUUGCCCCAGUAACGGCGAGUGAAGCGGCAACAGCUCAAAUUUGAAAUCUGGCCCCUAGGGCCCGAGUUGUAAUUUGCAGAGGAUGCUUUGGGCGAGGUGCCUUCCGAGUUCCCUGGAACGGGACGCCACAGAGGGUGAGAGCCCCGUCUGGUCGGACACCGAGCCUGUGUAAAGCUCCUUCGACGAGUCGAGUAGUUUGGGAAUGCUGCUCAAAAUGGGAGGUAUAUGUCUUCUAAAGCUAAAUAUUGGCCAGAGACCGAUAGCGCACAAGUAGAGUGAUCGAAAGAUGAAAAGCACUUUGAAAAGAGGGUUAAAAAGUACGUGAAAUUGUUGAAAGGGAAGCGCCUAUGACCAGACUUGGGCCCGGUGAAUCAUCCAGCGUUCUCGCUGGUGCACUUUGCCGGGCACAGGCCAGCAUCAGUUUGGCGCGGGGGACAAAGGCUUCGGGAAUGUGGCUCCCUCGGGAGUGUUAUAGCCCGCUGCGCAAUACCCUGCGCUGGACUGAGGUACGCGCAUCGCAAGGAUGCUGGCGUAAUGGUCAUCAGCGACCCGUCUUGAAACACGGACCAAGGAGUCGUCUUCGUAUGCGAGUGUUCGGGUGUCAAACCCCUACGCGUAAUGAAAGUGAACGCAGGUGAGAGCUUCGGCGCAUCAUCGACCGAUCCUGAUGUUCUCGGAUGGAUUUGAGUAAGAGCAUACGGGGCCGGACCCGAAAGAAGGUGAACUAUGCCUGUAUAGGGUGAAGCCAGAGGAAACUCUGGUGGAGGCUCGCAGCGGUUCUGACGUGCGAAUCGAUCGUCAAAUAUGGGCAUGGGGGCGAAAGACUAAUCGAACCUUCUAGUAGCUGGUUUCCGCC
This 891-nucleotide ribosomal RNA is filed under the name Cordyceps militaris. RNAcentral describes it as "LSU rRNA". It matches the Rfam family "Eukaryotic large subunit ribosomal RNA", at positions 40 to 962 of the family's 3401-position model. The record is from RNAcentral. Lineage: Eukaryota; Fungi; Ascomycota; Sordariomycetes; Hypocreales; Cordycipitaceae.